GGUGGGAUGACCGAAAAUAGGUAAUAAAUUGUAAAUUUAUGUAUGGAUUAUUCCUCCCACUA
Molecule: transfer RNA, 62 nt
Filed under: Nacerdes carniolica
Lineage: Eukaryota; Metazoa; Arthropoda; Insecta; Coleoptera; Oedemeridae
Description: tRNA-Tyr
Source: RNAcentral